This 376-nucleotide ribosomal RNA is filed under the name uncultured bacterium. RNAcentral's name for it is "bacterial SSU rRNA". It matches the Rfam family "Bacterial small subunit ribosomal RNA", at positions 28 to 404 of the family's 1533-position model. The record is from RNAcentral.
GACGAACGCUGGCGGCGUGCUUAACACAUGCAAGUCGAGCGGUAAGGCCCCUUCGGGGGUACACGAGCGGCGAACGGGUGAGUAACACGUGGGUGACCUGCCCUCAGCUCUGGGAUAAGCCUGGGAAACUGGGUCUAAUACCGGAUAUGACUCCAUGACGCAUGUCGUGGGGUGGAAAGCCUUGUGCGGCUGGGGAUGGGCCCGCGGCCUAUCAGCUUGUUGGUGGGGUGAUGGCCUACCAAGGCGACGACGGGUAGCCGGCCUGAGAGGGCGACCGGCCACACUGGGACUGAGACACGGCCCAGACUCCUACGGGAGGCAGCAGGUGGGGAAUCUUGCGCAAUGGGCGAAAGCCUGACGCAGCGACGCCGCGUGA